GUGCCAGCCGCCGCGGUAAUACGGAGGGAGCGAACGUUGUUCGGAUUUACUGGGCGUAAAGGGCGUGUAGGCGGUUUGGCAAGUCAGGGGUGAAAUGCCUCGGCUCAACCGGGGACCUGCCUUUGAAACUGCCAGACUUGAGGCCGUGAGAGGAGACUGGAAUUCCCAGUGUAGCGGUGAAAUGCAUAGAUAUUGGGAAGAACACCAGUGGCGAAGGCGAGUCUCUGGCACGGUUCUGACGCUGAUGCGCGAAAGCUAGGGGAGCAAACGGGAUUAGAUACCCCCGUAGUCC
This 292-nucleotide ribosomal RNA is filed under the name uncultured bacterium. RNAcentral's name for it is "partial 16S ribosomal RNA". It matches the Rfam family "Bacterial small subunit ribosomal RNA", at positions 505 to 796 of the family's 1533-position model. The record is from RNAcentral.